This 482-nucleotide ribosomal RNA is filed under the name uncultured bacterium. RNAcentral's name for it is "bacterial SSU rRNA". It matches the Rfam family "Bacterial small subunit ribosomal RNA", at positions 30 to 506 of the family's 1533-position model. The record is from RNAcentral.
UUGAACGCUGGCGGCAGGCCUAACACAUGCAAGUCGAGCGGUAGAGAGAAGCUUGCUUCUCUUGAGAGCGGCGGACGGGUGAGUAAUGCCUAGGAAUCUGCCUGGUAGUGGGGGAUAACGUUCGGAAACGGACGCUAAUACCGCAUACGUCCUACGGGAGAAAGCAGGGGACCUUCGGGCCUUGCGCUAUCAGAUGAGCCUAGGUCGGAUUAGCUAGUUGGUGAGGUAAUGGCUCACCAAGGCGACGAUCCGUAACUGGUCUGAGAGGAUGAUCAGUCACACUGGAACUGAGACACGGUCCAGACUCCUACGGGAGGCAGCAGUGGGGAAUAUUGGACAAUGGGCGAAAGCCUGAUCCAGCCAUGCCGCGUGUGUGAAGAAGGUCUUCGGAUUGUAAAGCACUUUAAGUUGGGAGGAAGGGCCAUUACCUAAUACGUGAUGGUUUUGACGUUACCGACAGAAUAAGCACCGGCUAACUCUGU